Molecule: transfer RNA, 73 nt
Filed under: bacterium
Lineage: Bacteria
Description: tRNA-Met
Rfam family: tRNA
About the family: Transfer RNA (tRNA) molecules are approximately 80 nucleotides in length.
Source: RNAcentral
GGGCCCAUAGCUCAAUUGGCAGAGCUGUCGGCUCAUAACCGACAGGUUCCUGGUUCAAGUCCAGGUGGGCCCA